This 718-nucleotide ribosomal RNA is filed under the name Leuconostoc fallax. RNAcentral's name for it is "bacterial SSU rRNA". It matches the Rfam family "Bacterial small subunit ribosomal RNA", at positions 57 to 751 of the family's 1533-position model. The record is from RNAcentral. Lineage: Bacteria; Bacillati; Bacillota; Bacilli; Lactobacillales; Lactobacillaceae.
GCUAGUCGCGGACCUGAUCACUUCGGUGAGACGUAAAGCAUAUGGCUAGAGUGGCGAACGGGUGAGUAACACGUGGACAACCUGCCUCUAAGCAGGGGAUAACAUUUGGAAACAGAUGCUAAUACCGUAUAACAACACAUUUCGCAUGAAGUGUGUUUAAAAGGGGCUUCGGCCUCACUUAGAGAUGGAUCCGCGGUGCAUUAGUUAGUUGGUGAGGUAAAGGCUUACCAAGACGAUGAUGCAUAGCCGAGUUGAGAGACUGAUCGGCCACAUUGGGACUGAGACACGGCCCAAACUCCUACGGGAGGCUGCAGUAGGGAAUCUUCCACAAUGGGCGCAAGCCUGAUGGAGCAACGCCGCGUGUGUGAUGAAGGCUUUCGGGUCGUAAAGCACUGUUGUAUGGGAAGAAUAGUUAAUGUAGGAAAUGAUGUUAAUGUGACGGUACCAUACCAGAAAGGGACGGCUAAAUACGUGCCAGCAGCCGCGGUAAUACGUAUGUCCCGAGCGUUAUCCGGAUUUAUUGGGCGUAAAGCGAGCGCAGACGGUUCGUUAAGUCUGAAGUGAAAGCCCACAGCUCAACUGUGGAAUGGCUUUGGAAACUGGCGAACUUGAGUGCAGUAGAGGCAAGUGGAACUCCAUGUGUAGCGGUGGAAUGCGUAGAUAUAUGGAAGAACACCAGUGGCGAACGCGGCUUGCUGGACUGUAACUGACGUUGAGG